AUUGAACGCUGGCGGCACGCCUAACACAUGCAAGUCGAGCGGCAGCAUGCUUAGUAGCAAUACUAAGUGAUGGCGAGCGGCGGACGGGUGAGGAACACGUAGGAACCUGCCCAAGAGAGGGGGAUAACUAAGGGAAACUUUAGCUAAUACCGCAUAAUCUCUGAGGAGAAAAGCUGCCCGUAAGGGUAGCGCUUUUGGAGGGGCCUGCGUCCGAUUAGCUAGUUGGUGAGGUAAAAGCUCACCAAGGCGAUGAUCGGUAACUGGUCUGGGAGGACGACCAGUCACACUGGGACUGAGACACGGCCCAGACUCCUACGGGAGGCAGCAGUGGGGAAUCUUGGACAAUGGGGGCAACCCUGAUCCAGCGAUGCCGCGUGGGUGAAGAAGGCCUUCGGGUUGUAAAGCCCUUUAGGCUGGGAAGAAGUGUGCGGGAUGAAUAAUCCUGUACAUUGACGGUACCAGCAGAAUAAGCACCGGCAAACUCUGUGCCAGCCGCCGCAGUAA
RNAcentral lists this ribosomal RNA (504 nucleotides) under uncultured bacterium. RNAcentral's name for it is "partial 16S ribosomal RNA". It matches the Rfam family "Bacterial small subunit ribosomal RNA", at positions 29 to 523 of the family's 1533-position model. The record is from RNAcentral.